UGACCUUAUCUUUGACCAAAACUAUUGUCUAUUUAGGAACUCAUACAGACUACCACUUGUAUGGUAUUACUGUCAGAUAAAAACUAUAUCAAUCCUCCAAAUAGUAAACUAUAUACUAUAAUGCCCCUUUUAUCUAGUUCCCAAUUUGAAAUCAACUAUAAUAAAGAUUCAUAUUAGUAGCAUCAAUGACAGCUUCCUCCCCACUCCCAUAUCUUGAUCAGCUCUUUCUGCAACUCCAAUACAUGCAAGUAUAGUUUGAACUGGGAAGUAAGAACUUAACUAUAGGAAAAGAUAAUCUUUACUACUAUAUACUUCAAAUUGAUCUGCAAUCUGCCAAAAUGACCCCACUCUCCCCCAAACUUGCCCUGGCUAGAAAAUUGGCACAAGUCUGAGAGUCGGCGUCAAUUGAAAAUUAAUAUUGUAUCAAUGAAAUCAGUUAUCCACAUAUAUCUUGAAAUAAUUUGCAUAUUCUCACAACAUUUUGAGCUAAAUAGCUUUUAAUUCAAUAAUGGAUUUUUUCUUCGCUUUCCAUCUCUGCAAUAUGAGGCUCCACUCCAGCUUCAGAACCCUUCACAUGCAAGAGUCCCACUUUAGAAUCUUGCAUGUGCUAGAGCUCCCACAGUGAGCUAUGUAUUUCAUUAAAAAGGAAGAAUUUGAUUCAAUUCUAUCCUGUUGUAGCUUCUUUUCAGUCUUUAUUUAUCCAUAAUCAUGGACAAUAUAUUGUGAGCCAAUUUUUCUUGUAAAUCCAAAACUUUCUGCCUUGGUACUCC
This 770-nucleotide long non-coding RNA is filed under the name Elaeis guineensis (African oil palm). RNAcentral's name for it is "long non-coding RNA (EGUI_LNC050335)". Lineage: Eukaryota; Viridiplantae; Streptophyta; Magnoliopsida; Arecales; Arecaceae. The record is from RNAcentral.